RNAcentral lists this long non-coding RNA (942 nucleotides) under Homo sapiens (human). RNAcentral's name for it is "HSALNT0303557". Lineage: Eukaryota; Metazoa; Chordata; Mammalia; Primates; Hominidae. The record is from RNAcentral.
UUUGCUACAGGCGACGUUGCCGCCUCGCCGCCGUCACCGGCCGGGACCUUGCGAACUGUACUGUAAGCUCACAAUAAACCGGGACUGGGCGCCUUCCGGGGCGCAGAGGGCCCCGCGCAAGGACAGUGUAGUUCUCGGCUGGGGUCGAGUUUCGCCCCUGCACAGAGAAGAGAUCAAACUCUAGGACGUACCCGUUAUAAUCACACAUGCAAAUUAUAAAGUUUUAAAGGAGGAAGUCCAGGUCAAAUAAGGAAGGAGGUAGAGCCCAGGGAUGCAGCUGUCAGACCUUGGAGAAGGAGCACUUGGAGACUAGAGUGCACAAGAUGGCUCAAAAGGGAUUAAGGAUGAAUGGAGAGAUGGGAGAUUUUGACCAGAAACUAAAAUACUGGAGUUUAAAUGGCUCAAGGCAUUCCUUAAUCUACUCAAAGUGACACCUAAGAUUAACCAUCACAAAUGGGGAUGAAGUCUGGAUUAGCGAGAGUCUGGAAAGACCAAGAUCAGGAUGUCAUCAUGGUUGGAUUCUGCUGAGGGCCCACCUCUGGAUUCAUAGAAUGGCACCUUCUUGCUGUGUCCUCACAUGGUCUAAGGGACUAAAAGCCCUCAUGGCCUGACCACCUCCCAGUGGUCACACCUCCUAAUACCAUCACUUUGGGGGUUAGGAUUUCAAUAUAUGAAUUCCGGGGAGACAUAGACAUUUAGACUAUAGUACCUGCCUUUUCUAUAUGAACUUUACUCCUGGAAAACAAAACAGUAGAUGAGAGAAUGUGUGUUUUUAUGAAAGUAUUCCAACUCAAAUAAAACAGAAAUGAUAGAAUAUCAGCAGUUGACAACUCUGCAGUGAAUGAUAGAUACUGACACUUUGCAGCUAUUAAGAUCAUUAAAAAAUGACAACAGGACAAUCUGUGCCUCCUACAGUCCUGCCAUACAGUGUCCAUAGUUUUG